RNAcentral lists this long non-coding RNA (1652 nucleotides) under Xyrichtys novacula (pearly razorfish). Lineage: Eukaryota; Metazoa; Chordata; Actinopteri; Labriformes; Labridae. The record is from RNAcentral.
GGUUUAAGGUUUUUGGCGUUAGGGUUAAAAUGACUGUCCAAUAUUUUUAAGGAACAUCUUUCAGACCUUUGGGAGUUAGUUAGACAAAAAAAAAGAAAAAGAAAAAAAAUAUAUUUGGGGUGUUCAAGCUUCCUAAAGGUAAUACCCGGGUAUUAGGUUAUGGGGCUAGGGUAAGGUUUAAGGUUUUUGGUGUUAGGGUUAAAAUCAAUGUCCAAAACCUUUGUAGGAACUCUUUUCCAACCUUUGAGAGCAAGUUAGACCAAAAAAAAAGAAAAAUAAAAAAUAUAUAUUUGGGGUGUUCGGGCUUCCUGAAGGUAAUACCCGGGUAUUAGGUUUUGGGGCUAGUGUUAGGUUUAAGGUUUUUGGCGUUAGGGUUAAAAUAACUGUCCAAAACCUUUGUAGGAACUCUUUUCCAACCUUUGGGAAUUAGUUAGACAAAAAAAAAGAUAAAUGAAAAAAAAAAUAUUUGGGGUGUACGGGCUUCCUGAAGGAAAUAUUAGGUUUUGGGGCUAGGGUAGGUUUAAGGUUUUUGGCGUUAGGGUUAAAAUGACUGUCCAAUAUUUUUAAGGAACAUCUUUCAGACCUUUGGGAGUUAGUUAGACAAAAAAAAAGAAAAAGAAAAAAAAUAUAUUUGGGGUGUUCGGGUUUCCUGAAGGUAAUACCCGGGUAUUAGGUUAUGGGGCUAGGGUAAGGUUUAAGGUUUUUGGCGUUAGGGUUAAAAUCACUGUCCAAAACCUUUGUAGGAACUCUUUUCCAACCUUUGGGAAUUAGUUAGACAAAAAAAAAAGAUAAAUGAAAAAAAAAAUAUUUGGGGUCUUCGGGUUUCCUGAAGGAAUUAGGUUUUGGGGCUAGGGUAAGGUUUAAGGUUUUUGGCGUUAGGGUUAAAAUCACUGUCCAAUAUUUUUUAAGGAACAUGUUUCAGACCUUUGGGAGUUAGUUAGACAAAAAAAAAAAAAAAAAAAAAAAUAUAUUUGGGGUGUUCGGGCUUCCUGAAGGUAAUACCCGGGUAUUAGGUAAUGGGGCUAGGGUAAGGUUUAAGGUUUUUGGCGUGAGGGUUAAAAUCACUGUCCAAAACCUUUUUAGGAACAUGUUUAAGACCUUUUGGAGUUGGUUACACCAAAAAAAAAUGUAAAAUGAAAAAAAAUAUAUUUGGGGUGUUCGGGCUUCCUGAAGGUAAUACCCGGGUAUUAGGUUAUGGGGCUAGGGUAAGGUUUAAGGUUUUUGGCGUUAGGGUUAAAAUCACUGUCCAAAACCUUUUUAGGAACAUGUUUCAGACUUUUUGGAGUUGGUUACACCAAAAAAAAAUGUAAAAUGAAAAAAACUUUUUUGGGUGUUCGGGCUUCCUGAAGGUAAUACUAAGUUUUUGGGCUAGGGUAAUGUUUAAGGUUUUUGGUGUUAGGGUUAAAAUCAAUGUCCAAAACCUUUGUAGGAACUCUUUUCCAACAUUUGAGAGCAAGUUAGACCAAAACAAAAAGAAAAAUAAAAAAUAUAUAUUUGGGGUGUUCGGGCUUCCUGAAGGUAAUACCCGGGUAUUAGGUUAUGGGGCUAGGGUAAGGUUUAAGGUUUUUGGCGUUAGGGUUAAAAUCACUGUCCAAAACCUUUGUAGGAACUCUUUUCCAACCUUUGGGAAUAAGUUAGACAAAAAAAUAAGA